GACGAACGCUGGCGGCGUGCUUAACACAUGCAAGUCGAACGCUGAAGCUCAGCUUUUGUUGGGUGGAUGAGUGGCGAACGGGUGAGUAACACGUGAGUAACCUGCCCCCUUCUUUGGGAUAACGCCCGGAAACGGGUGCUAAUACUGGAUAUUCACUGGUCUUCGCAUGGGGGUUGGUGGAAAGGGUUUUUCUGGUGGGGGAUGGGCUCGCGGCCUAUCAGCUUGUUGGUGGGGUGAUGGCCUACCAAGGCUUUGACGGGUAGCCGGCCUGAGAGGGUGACCGGUCACAUUGGGACUGAGAUACGGCCCAGACUACUACGGGAGGCAGCAGUGGGGAAUAUUGCACAAUGGGCGCAAGCCUGAUGCAGCGACGCCGCGGGAGGGGUGGAGGCCUUCGGGUUGUGAACCUCUUUCGCUCAUGGUCAAGCCGCAACAAUGGUUGUGGUGAGGGUAGUGGGUAAAGAAGCGCCGGCUAACUACGUG
This 483-nucleotide ribosomal RNA is filed under the name uncultured bacterium. RNAcentral's name for it is "partial 16S ribosomal RNA". It matches the Rfam family "Bacterial small subunit ribosomal RNA", at positions 28 to 507 of the family's 1533-position model. The record is from RNAcentral.